UACAGAGGGUGCAAGCGUUAAUCGGAAUUACUGGGCGUAAAGCGUGCGUAGUCGGCUUUUCAAGUCGGGUGUGAAAGCCCCGGGCUCAACCUGGGAAUUGCAUUCGAUACUGGAUGGCUAGAGUUCGGCAGAGGGAAGUGGAAUUUCCGGUGUAGCGGUGAAAUGCGUAGAUAUCGGAAGGAACAUCAGUGGCGAAAGCGACUUCCUGGACCAAUACUGACGCUCAUGUGCGAAAGCGUGGGGAGCAAACAGG
RNAcentral lists this ribosomal RNA (253 nucleotides) under uncultured bacterium. Its description in RNAcentral is "partial 16S ribosomal RNA". It matches the Rfam family "Bacterial small subunit ribosomal RNA", at positions 524 to 776 of the family's 1533-position model. The record is from RNAcentral.